GAUGAACGCUGGCGGCGUGCCUAAUACAUGCAAGUCGAGCGAACAGACGAGGAGCUUGCUCCUCUGACGUUAGCGGCGGACGGGUGAGUAACACGUGGAUAACCUACCUAUAAGACUGGGAUAACUUCGGGAAACCGGAGCUACUACCGGAUAACAUUUUGAACCGCAUGGUUCAACAGUGAAAGACGGUCUUGCUGUCACUUAUAGAUGGAUCCGCGCCGCAUUAGCUAGUUGGUAAGGUAACGGCUUACCAAGGCAACGAUGCGUAGCCGACCUGAGAGGGUGAUCGGCCACACUGGAACUGAGACACGGUCCAGACUCCUACGGGAGGCAGCAGUAGGGAAUCUUCCGCAAUGGGCGAAAGCCUGACGGAGCAACGCCGCGUGAGUGAAGAAGGUCUUCGGAUCGUAAAACUCUGUUAUUAGGGAGGAACAAAUGUGUAAGUAACUAUGCACGUCUUGACGGUACCUAAUCAGAAAGCCACGGCUAACUACGUG
RNAcentral lists this ribosomal RNA (497 nucleotides) under uncultured bacterium. Its description in RNAcentral is "partial 16S ribosomal RNA". It matches the Rfam family "Bacterial small subunit ribosomal RNA", at positions 28 to 507 of the family's 1533-position model. The record is from RNAcentral.